UACGUAGGGGGCAAGCGUUGUCCGGAUUUACUGGGCGUAAAGAGCGCGCAGGCGGUCGUUCAAGUCGCGUGUGAAAGCCCCCGGCUCAACUGGGGAGGGUCACGCGAUACUGAUCGACUCGAAGGCAGGAGAGGGUAGUGGAAUUCCCGGCGUAGUGGUGAAAUGCGUAGAUAUCGGGAGGAACACCAGUGGCGAAGGCGACUACCUGGCCUGUUCUUGACGCUGAGGCGCGAAAGCUAGGGGAGCAAACGGG
Molecule: ribosomal RNA, 253 nt
Filed under: uncultured bacterium
Lineage: Bacteria
Description: partial 16S ribosomal RNA
Rfam family: Bacterial small subunit ribosomal RNA
Source: RNAcentral